ACAUUUCUUUCCUUCUCAUUGUAGGAUUAGGACACGUGAAAAACUUUUCUCCUACAAAUAACGCGGAGCACUCCGAAACCUUAGUUCUUAACAUGGAUAUAAACCUAAGAGAAUUCAAGUUAGAAUCGUAGUAGGUAUUCUUUGCUUAAUUUCUAGUGCACUCCAUGCGUAAAGGCGUUGGUUAAUUUCUUGUAUCGUAAAACUAAAACCCUCCUUUUGGUUUAGCUUCUGCGUUGAAAGAUACAGAGAAGAAAGGCAUAUUAAUACAAAUCAAGAAACCAAGAUGAUCCGAGUAAUGGAUGAAAGAGAAGUCAGUCUUCAUUUACAGGCAAUUCCAUGCCGAUUGUUGAGGUUUCUUGUUCCUUUUGGAUUGUUCAGAACAUUCGCAGGCCAAAUAUGGAGAUUAUUUGCAGGCCAAUGCCAGAAUUUGUGCGAUUUCAUAUCGGUGAAGCUUGCAGAAGAGGCAGCGAAGCCUGUGAUUUUGGGUCCCCCUUUACAUGAUAAGUGUAAAUGAUGCCAUGGAAAAGAACUCAUUCAUGUUCGACUUACUUUUACUAAUAGUUAUUGAACUUUAAUAAUGUGGAGAUUUUUACCUUUCUUAUACAGAUUCUUCGUUAAUUGUGUUUUCUUGAUUUAAUUUUAUGUACAGUAUUACGUUUGAAAGAAAAUUGCAGCAUUGGUCACCAAGUUGUGAGGUUGAGCAGCUACUUUUAUGUGUUAAUAAAGCAUCGUGACCCUUUGGUGGGUCGAUCAAUUGCAUUGGGUAAUAGAUGAAGGAUCUAUCUUAAUUGCUAGUGCAUUUGCCAUUCGUUCCGUCAUCAAAUCUACACGGUCUAGUGGAUUGGAUAGAGUUUGAUCCUAGCUUAGAAAGAACACAAGUUCUAUGCUUAACACAUGCGAGUCGACAAGAUCCUGAUUUUUAAAGAAUGUAUAGUUAAAAAUAAGCGGAAAAAAUAGAUUAUCAAAUAAUCGCUGUCAAACAAAAGUCAAGACAUUUCUUUCCUUUUCAUUCGAGGACUAGGACACGUGAAAAACUUCUGCCAUAUCAAUAACGUGGAGCAACAUUUCUUUCCUUCUCAUUGUAGGAUUAGGACACGUGAAAAACUUUUCUCCUACAAAUAACGCGGAGCACUCCGAAACCUUAGUUCUUAACAUGGAUAUAAACCUAAGAGAAUUCAAGUUAGAAUCGUAGUAGGUAUUCUUUGCUUAAUUUCUAGUGCACUCCAUGCGUAAAGGCGUUGGUUAAUUUCUUGUAUCGUAAAACUAAAACCCUCCUUUUGGUUUAGCUUCUGCGUUGAAAGAUACAGAGAAGAAAGGCAUAUUAAUACAAAUCAAGAAACCAAGAUGAUCCGAGUAAUGGAUGAAAGAGAAGUCAGUCUUCAUUUACAGGCAAUUCCAUGCCGAUUGUUGAGGUUUCUUGUUCCUUUUGGAUUGUUCAGAACAUUCGCAGGCCAAAUAUGGAGAUUAUUUGCAGGCCAAUGCCAGAAUUUGUGCGAUUUCAUAUCGGUGAAGCUUGCAGAAGAGGCAGCGAAGCCUGUGAUUUUGGGUCCCCCUUUACAUGAUAAGUGUAAAUGAUGCCAUGGAAAAGAACUCAUUCAUGUUCGACUNNN
This 1610-nucleotide long non-coding RNA is filed under the name Olea europaea (common olive). RNAcentral's name for it is "long non-coding RNA (OEUR_LNC002481)". The record is from RNAcentral. Lineage: Eukaryota; Viridiplantae; Streptophyta; Magnoliopsida; Lamiales; Oleaceae.